Long non-coding RNA from Lutra lutra (Eurasian river otter), 270 nucleotides. RefSeq lists it as uncharacterized. The transcript is spliced from 3 exons. NCBI's taxonomy places the organism in Eukaryota, Metazoa, Chordata, Mammalia, Carnivora, Mustelidae. The record is from RefSeq and is a predicted model, not a curated record.
AGGCCAAACAUGCCAGAAACAUGGCAAUAAAAUUCCAUUGGUCAGUAGUGGUGAAGGUCUGGUUGAGAUCACAGCCUGGGGACAUGAGAAGAUGGAUAGAGGAUACACUCAAAUGGUGGAUAUAUCACACACCACUGGAGGACAAAAAAGGAAGUAAUGAGGGUAAUGAGCCAUGAGCACUGUUGGAAAUCAUUCCAUGCAGGAAGCCUCAUCCUCUGGAUCAGGCAGAUAUUAUUGGCACAGUACCAACAGCUGGAAGAUGAGAGAGGA